This 458-nucleotide ribosomal RNA is filed under the name uncultured bacterium. RNAcentral describes it as "bacterial SSU rRNA". It matches the Rfam family "Bacterial small subunit ribosomal RNA", at positions 339 to 794 of the family's 1533-position model. The record is from RNAcentral.
GUACGGGAGGCAGCAGUAGGGAAUAUUGGUCAAUGGGCGCAAGCCUGAACCAGCCAUCCCGCGUGCAGGAAGAAGGCGCUAUGCGUCGUAAACUGCUUUUUCAGGGGAAGAAUGUCCGGCACGUGUGCUGGAUUGACGGUACCUUGAGAAUAAGCAUCGGCUAACUCCGUGCCAGCAGCCGCGGUAAUACGGAGGAUGCGAGCGUUAUCCGGAUUUAUUGGGUUUAAAGGGUGCGUAGGCGGAUUGAUAAGUCAGUGGUGAAAUACUGCAGCUUAACUGUAGAAUUGCCGUUGAUACUGUCAGUCUUGAGUAUGGUUAAGGUAGGCGGAAUGUGUAAUGUAGCGGUGAAAUGCUUAGAUAUUACACAGAACACUAAUUGCGAAGGCAGCUUACUGAGCCAAAACUGACGCUGAGGCACGAAAGCGUGGGGAGCGAACAGGAUUAGAUACCCUGGUAGC